Molecule: ribosomal RNA, 367 nt
Filed under: uncultured bacterium
Lineage: Bacteria
Description: bacterial SSU rRNA
Rfam family: Bacterial small subunit ribosomal RNA
Source: RNAcentral
CACGCUGUAAACGAUGAAUACUAGGUGUCGGGGGUCAAAGCCCGGUGCCGCAGCUAACGCAUUAAGUAUUCCGCCUGGGGAGUACGGUCGCAAGACUGAAACUCAAAGGAAUUGACGGGGACCCGCACAAGCAGCGGAGCAUGUGGUUUAAUUCGAAGCAACGCGAAGAACCUUACCAGGUCUUGACAUCCCUCUGAAUGGCGCAUAGCAGCGCAGGUCUUUCGGGACAGAGGAGACAGGUGGUGCAUGGUUGUCGUCAGCUCGUGUCGUGAGAUGUUGGGUUAAGUCCCGCAACGAGCGCAACCCUUGCCUUUAGUUGCCAGCACGUUAUGGUGGGCACUCUAGAGGGACUGCCGGUGACAAACCG